AAGCGCAUCUGGUGGAUGCCUUGGCGGCAACAGGCGAUGAAAGACGUAGUAGCCUGCGAUAAGCCUCGGGGAGCUGGCAAACAAGCUUUGAUCCGAGGAUUUCUGAAUGGGGCAACCCACGGCUUAGGCCGUAUCCCGCAAGGGAGGCUAACGCAGGGAACUGAAACAUCUAAGUACCUGCAGGAAAAGAAAUCAACCGAGAUUCCCCUAGUAGUGGCGAGCGAACGGGGAGUAGCCCUUAAGUUUUGUGCGGUUUAGUGGAACAGUCUGGAAAGUCUGGUCAUAGCGGGUGAUAGCCCCGUACACGAAAAACUGCAUGAGAUGAAAUCGAGUAAGGCGAGGCACGUGAAACCUUGUCUGAAUAUGGGGGGACCAUCCUCCAAGGCUAAAUACUCGUUGCCGACCGAUAGUGAACCAGUACCGUGAGGGAAAGGCGAAAAGAACCCCGGGAGGGGAGUGAAAUAGAUCCUGAAACCGCAUGCAUACAAGCAGUGGGAGCCGGCUUAGUCCGGUGACUGCGUACCUUUUGUAUAAUGGGUCAGCGACUUAUAUUCUGUAGCAAGGUUAACCGAAUAGGGGAGCCGUAGGGAAACCGAGUCUUAAUAGGGCGUCUAGUUGCAGGGUGUAGACCCGAAACCGGGUGAUCUAUCCAUGAGCAGGUUGAAAGUGACGUAACAGUUACCGGAGGACCGAACCCACUGUCUUUGAAAAGCCAGGGGAUGACUUGUGGAUAGGGGUGAAAGGCUAAUCAAACUCGGUGAUAGCUGGUUCUCCCCGAAAGCUAUUUAGGUAGCGCCUCGGACGAACACCAUUGGGGGUAGAGCACUGUUUCGGCUAGGGGGUCAUCCCGACUUACCAAACCGAUGCAAACUCCGAAUACCGAUGAGUGAUAUCCGGGAGACAGACGGCGGGUGCUAACGUCCGUCGUCAAGAGGGAAACAACCCAGACCGCCAGCUAAGGUCCCUAAAUCAUCGCUAAGUGGUAAACGAUGUGGAAAGUCAUAGACAGCCAGGAUGUUGGCU
RNAcentral lists this ribosomal RNA (1023 nucleotides) under uncultured Isochrysis. RNAcentral describes it as "partial Bacterial large subunit ribosomal RNA". It matches the Rfam family "Bacterial large subunit ribosomal RNA", at positions 13 to 1106 of the family's 2925-position model. The record is from RNAcentral. Lineage: Eukaryota; Haptophyta; Isochrysidales.